Molecule: long non-coding RNA, 472 nt
Filed under: Nicotiana benthamiana
Lineage: Eukaryota; Viridiplantae; Streptophyta; Magnoliopsida; Solanales; Solanaceae
Description: long non-coding RNA (NBEN_LNC037691)
Source: RNAcentral
UCACAGAAGCUCUAACCCCUUCAGAGAUCAUAACCUAACCCCGCCGCUGGCAUGUCUUCAAACGACCUCAAAAACACACCACAACACCUUCUCUUCCUCCUCAUUUCCGAUGUGGGCUCAAUAUUCUUCAAAUCCCACCCAAGCAGCUCCAAUCUACAAAACUCGAAACUCAAUCUCCUCCGAACACGAUGGCACAUUCCCCAAUCCCUACCAAACUUACACCGUAGGUUCACCUCCACCCCCACAUCACAAAUCUACACCCCUUUUACUUCAAAUGUUCCUCAAACUGCUCGAAUAUUGAAUCUAAAUUUGGAACCUGAACGGGCAUCAUUUCUUCUCUGUUUCUCCACGGGUCUUAGGCAUAGUUUCAUUACGAGUUGAUAUUAUUUGACUGUUCUUGACAAAGAAUGGCUGAUUGGUAUCAUUUAGUGGUCGAAAUUGGGAAGGCAGUCAUGUCCGGUUCAAAUUUGGU